Molecule: ribosomal RNA, 2900 nt
Filed under: Klebsiella pneumoniae subsp. rhinoscleromatis
Lineage: Bacteria; Pseudomonadati; Pseudomonadota; Gammaproteobacteria; Enterobacterales; Enterobacteriaceae
Description: bacterial LSU rRNA
Rfam family: Bacterial large subunit ribosomal RNA
Source: RNAcentral
UUAAGCGACUAAGCGUACACGGUGGAUGCCCUGGCAGUCAGAGGCGAUGAAGGACGUGCUAAUCUGCGAAAAGCGUCGGUAAGGUGAUAUGAACCGUUACAGCCGGCGAUGUCCGAAUGGGGAAACCCAGUGCAAUUCGUUGCACUAUCGUUAACUGAAUACAUAGGUUAACGAGGCGAACCGGGGGAACUGAAACAUCUAAGUACCCCGAGGAAAAGAAAUCAACCGAGAUUCCCCCAGUAGCGGUGAGCGAACGGGGAGCAGCCCAGAGUCUGAAUCAGCUUGUGUGUUAGUGGAACGGUCUGGAAAGUCCGACGGUACAGGGUGAUAGUCCCGUACACCAAAAUGCACAGGUUGUGAACUCGAAGAGUAGGGCGGGACACGUGGUAUCCUGUCUGAAUAUGGGGGGACCAUCCUCCAAGGCUAAAUACUCCUGACUGACCGAUAGUGAACCAGUACCGUGAGGGAAAGGCGAAAAGAACCCCGGCGAGGGGAGUGAAAAAGAACCUGAAACCGUGUACGUACAAGCAGUGGGAGCACCUUCGGGUGUGACUGCGUACCUUUUGUAUAAUGGGUCAGCGACUUAUAUUCUGUAGCAAGGUUAACCGUAUAGGGGAGCCGCAGGGAAACCGAGUCUUAACUGGGCGUUAAGUUGCAGGGUAUAGACCCGAAACCCGGUGAUCUAGCCAUGGGCAGGUUGAAGGUUGGGUAACACUAACUGGAGGACCGAACCGACUAAUGUUGAAAAAUUAGCGGAUGACUUGUGGCUGGGGGUGAAAGGCCAAUCAAACCGGGAGAUAGCUGGUUCUCCCCGAAAGCUAUUUAGGUAGCGCCUCGUGAACUCAUCUUCGGGGGUAGAGCACUGUUUCGGCUAGGGGGUCAUCCCGACUUACCAACCCGAUGCAAACUACGAAUACCGAAGAAUGUUAUCACGGGAGACACACGGCGGGUGCUAACGUCCGUCGUGAAGAGGGAAACAACCCAGACCGCCAGCUAAGGUCCCAAAGUCAUGGUUAAGUGGGAAACGAUGUGGGAAGGCACAGACAGCCAGGAUGUUGGCUUAGAAGCAGCCAUCAUUUAAAGAAAGCGUAAUAGCUCACUGGUCGAGUCGGCCUGCGCGGAAGAUGUAACGGGGCUAAACCAUGCACCGAAGCUGCGGCAGCGACACUAUGUGUUGUUGGGUAGGGGAGCGUUCUGUAAGCCUGCGAAGGUGACCUGUGAGGGUUGCUGGAGGUAUCAGAAGUGCGAAUGCUGACAUAAGUAACGAUAAAGCGGGUGAAAAGCCCGCUCGCCGGAAGACCAAGGGUUCCUGUCCAACGUUAAUCGGGGCAGGGUGAGUCGACCCCUAAGGCGAGGCCGAAAGGCGUAGUCGAUGGGAAACAGGUUAAUAUUCCUGUACUUGGUGUUACUGCGAAGGGGGGACGGAGAAGGCUAUGUUAGCCGGGCGACGGUUGUCCCGGUUUAAGCAUGUAGGCUGGUUGUCCAGGCAAAUCCGGAUAAUCAAGGCUGAGGUGUGAUGACGAGGCACUACGGUGCUGAAGUAACAAAUGCCCUGCUUCCAGGAAAAGCCUCUAAGCAUCAGGUAACAUUAAAUCGUACCCCAAACCGACACAGGUGGUCAGGUAGAGAAUACCAAGGCGCUUGAGAGAACUCGGGUGAAGGAACUAGGCAAAAUGGUGCCGUAACUUCGGGAGAAGGCACGCUGGUGUGUAGGUGAAGCCCCUGCGGGUGGAGCUGAGACCAGUCGAAGAUACCAGCUGGCUGCAACUGUUUAUUAAAAACACAGCACUGUGCAAACACGAAAGUGGACGUAUACGGUGUGACGCCUGCCCGGUGCCGGAAGGUUAAUUGAUGGGGUUAUCCGUAAGGAGAAGCUCUUGAUCGAAGCCCCGGUAAACGGCGGCCGUAACUAUAACGGUCCUAAGGUAGCGAAAUUCCUUGUCGGGUAAGUUCCGACCUGCACGAAUGGCGUAAUGAUGGCCAGGCUGUCUCCACCCGAGACUCAGUGAAAUUGAACUCGCUGUGAAGAUGCAGUGUACCCGCGGCAAGACGGAAAGACCCCGUGAACCUUUACUAUAGCUUGACACUGAACAUUGAGCCUUGAUGUGUAGGAUAGGUGGGAGGCUUUGAAGCGUGGACGCCAGUCUGCGUGGAGCCAACCUUGAAAUACCACCCUUUAAUGUUUGAUGUUCUAACGUUGGCCCCUUACCGGGGUUGCGGACAGUGUCUGGUGGGUAGUUUGACUGGGGCGGUCUCCUCCCAAAGCGUAACGGAGGAGCACGAAGGUUAGCUAAUCCUGGUCGGACAUCAGGAGGUUAGUGCAAUGGCAUAAGCUAGCUUGACUGCGAGCGUGACGGCGCGAGCAGGUGCGAAAGCAGGUCAUAGUGAUCCGGUGGUUCUGAAUGGAAGGGCCAUCGCUCAACGGAUAAAAGGUACUCCGGGGAUAACAGGCUGAUACCGCCCAAGAGUUCAUAUCGACGGCGGUGUUUGGCACCUCGAUGUCGGCUCAUCACAUCCUGGGGCUGAAGUAGGUCCCAAGGGUAUGGCUGUUCGCCAUUUAAAGUGGUACGCGAGCUGGGUUUAGAACGUCGUGAGACAGUUCGGUCCCUAUCUGCCGUGGGCGCUGGAGAAUUGAGGGGGGCUGCUCCUAGUACGAGAGGACCGGAGUGGACGCAUCACUGGUGUUCGGGUUGUCAUGCCAAUGGCACUGCCCGGUAGCUAAAUGCGGAAGAGAUAAGUGCUGAAAGCAUCUAAGCACGAAACUUGCCCCGAGAUGAGUUCUCCCUGAGACUUUAAGUCUCCUGAAGGAACGUUGAAGACGACGACGUUGAUAGGCCGGGUGUGUAAGCGCAGCGAUGCGUUGAGCUAACCGGUACUAAUGAACCGUGAGGCUUAACCUU